AUGGCCGCCCUCAGACCCCCUGUGAAGCCCAAGAUCAUCAAAAAGAGAACCAAGAAGUUCAUCCGGCACCAGUCAGACCGAUGUGUCACGAUUAAGCGUAACUGGCAGAAACCCAGAGGUAUUGACAACAGGGUUGGUAGAAGGUUCAAGGGCCAGAUCUUGAUGCCCAACAUUGGUUAUGGGAGCAACAAAAAAACAAAGCACACGCUGCCCACUGGCUUCUGGAAGUUCAGUCUACAACGUCAAGGAGCUGGAAGUGCUGCUGAUGUACAACACUUCUUACUGCGCUGAGAUCGCUCACAGUGUUUCCUCCAGGAACCGCGAAGCCACCACAGAAAGAGCCGCCCAGCUGGCCAUCAGAGUCACUGACCCCCAUGCCAGUCUGCGCAGUGAAGAAAACGAG
This 403-nucleotide long non-coding RNA is filed under the name Homo sapiens (human). RNAcentral's name for it is "non-protein coding lnc-RPTOR-1:1". The record is from RNAcentral. Lineage: Eukaryota; Metazoa; Chordata; Mammalia; Primates; Hominidae.